UCUGGGCAAAUGCUGCAUAAAUUUUAUGUAGAGGAAAGUCCAUGCUCGCACAAUCUGCGAUGAUUGUAGUGUUCAUGCUUAGAGAAAAAAUAAUCUAAGGUAGCUUUGCUAACGGCUCCGAAAUAACCUUAAAUGGUUAAAUUAGGUAUAAAAGUGCCAAAGAGACGAGACUAUUUGGAAACAAAUAGAGUGGAACGUGGUAAACCCCAUGAGCGAGAAACCCAAAUUUUGGUAGGGGAGUUUUACUAGGGAAUUAAACCGAUGUAAGAAUCGAAAGAUAGAUAAAUAUUUGCCGCCCUUUUAGGGUACAGAACAUGGCUUAUAA
Molecule: RNase P RNA, 325 nt
Filed under: bovine gut metagenome
Description: Bacterial RNase P class B
Rfam family: Bacterial RNase P class B
About the family: Ribonuclease P (RNase P) is a ubiquitous endoribonuclease, found in archaea, bacteria and eukarya as well as chloroplasts and mitochondria.
Source: RNAcentral